Regulatory RNA element from Desulfitobacterium metallireducens DSM 15288, 133 nucleotides. It matches the Rfam family "Ribosomal protein L20 leader". Rfam says of the family: This family is a putative r-protein leader autoregulatory structure found in B. subtilis and other low-GC Gram-positive bacteria. It is located in the 5' untranslated regions of mRNAs encoding initiation factor 3 followed by ribosomal proteins L35 and L20 (infC-rpmI-rplT). Lineage: Bacteria; Bacillati; Bacillota; Clostridia; Eubacteriales; Desulfitobacteriaceae. The record is from Rfam.
AUGUUCAAGAAGAAGCCAUCCGCUUCUCACCUUAUGGCUCAAGUCGAUAAGGUAUCUUUAGGUCCUGAGUAUAUUUGUGCUCAUGAUUUGUUUAGAGAGACGGGUGGUAAUUCACCCGUCUUAUUUAUUUUUU